This is a long non-coding RNA of Chiloscyllium plagiosum (whitespotted bambooshark), 547 nucleotides long. RefSeq lists it as uncharacterized. NCBI's taxonomy places the organism in Eukaryota, Metazoa, Chordata, Chondrichthyes, Orectolobiformes, Hemiscylliidae. The record is from RefSeq and is a predicted model, not a curated record.
GAAUAAGUUCUUAUUAAUGAGAGUAGUCAGCAUUCACAUUAAACACAAAUGAUUCAGAGGAAUUCAACAAGGAGAGUCACUGAAUUAGCAUACGUGGAAUUUGACCAAGUGGACUUUAUUCCAAUGAAUACAGCACACGCCACGUUGUACAAAUGCAAUGAUGCAGAUGUAGGAUUACGGGAACCCAGCUGCCACCUGCCCACCCUCUGAGAAAACCAGCAAUAAAAUGAAGAGCAUGUUGUCAAGUAUUAUCAGUUCAAGAUUUUUUCACAUCAAGAUGAUGAGAAUGUAGUCUCCUUAUGUGACAACAGUCAGAGGAAGAGGUUUCAGAAACAAGAUCAAACUUCAGUGUUACUUUGUAUGGUCUGAAAAUUAUAAAGCAUCUGAAAAUGGGUCAGAGAUCUAACAAUGUAUUCAUGAGGUUCAGAGUUAAUGUUCUGGAGGCACAUUCAUUGCUGGAGUCACAGGUGACAUGUUAAUUUUUUGUUGUUGAAUAUUUUGUAUCUGUUUAAGAGCUAUGUCUAAUAAAGAACAUUAUUUGAUUCUA